UAGCCAACCGAAAUUAGUUUGGGUUUAAUGUUUAGCUCAAUCAAGUUCACUACUACUACAACUACUACCAUGACAAUCGCUGCUGCUGCUGCUACUACUUCUUCUUAAUAAAAAUUGAAAUUUCCCACGCAAGGACAUGAAAAUGUAGAUGAUGAUGCAUCCUAUCCAACACAGGAUGACAAAAAACACAAAAAAACAAGAAUCAAAGAGUAGUCCAGUUGAA
Molecule: unclassified non-coding RNA, 223 nt
Filed under: Hevea brasiliensis (rubber tree)
Lineage: Eukaryota; Viridiplantae; Streptophyta; Magnoliopsida; Malpighiales; Euphorbiaceae
Source: RNAcentral